UUGAACGCUGGCGGCAGGCCUAACACAUGCCAGUCGAACGGUAACAGGAAGCAGCUUGCUGCUUUGCUGACGAGUGGCGGACGGGUGAGUAAUGUCUGGGAAACUGCCUGAUGGAGGGGGAUAACUACUGGAAACGGUAGCUAAUACCGCAUAACGUCGCAAGACCAAAGAGGGGGACCUUCGGGCCUCUUGCCAUCGGAUGUGCCCAGAUGGGAUUAGCUAGUAGGUGGGGUAACGGCUCACCUAGGCGACGAUCCCUAGCUGGUCUGAGAGGAUGACCAGCCACACUGGAACUGAGACACGGUCCAGACUCCUACGGGAGGCAGCAGUGGGGAAUAUUGCACAAUGGGCGCAAGCCUGAUGCAGCCAUGCCGCGUGUAUGAAGAAGGCCUUCGGGUUGUAAAGUACUUUCAGCGGGGAGGAAGGGAGUAAAGUUAAUACCUUUGCUCAUUGACGUUACCCGCAGAAGAAGCACCGGCUAACUCCGUG
RNAcentral lists this ribosomal RNA (489 nucleotides) under uncultured bacterium. RNAcentral's name for it is "partial 16S ribosomal RNA". It matches the Rfam family "Bacterial small subunit ribosomal RNA", at positions 30 to 507 of the family's 1533-position model. The record is from RNAcentral.